RNAcentral lists this ribosomal RNA (467 nucleotides) under uncultured bacterium. Its description in RNAcentral is "partial 16S ribosomal RNA". It matches the Rfam family "Bacterial small subunit ribosomal RNA", at positions 28 to 506 of the family's 1533-position model. The record is from RNAcentral.
GACGAACGCUGGCGGCGUGCUUAACACAUGCAAGUCGAACGGAAAGGCCCUGCUUUUGUGGGGUGCUCGAGUGGCGAACGGGUGAGUAACACGUGAGUAACCUGCCCUUGACUUUGGGAUAACUUCAGGAAACUGGGGCUAAUACCGGAUAGGAGCUCCUGCUGCAUGGUGGGGGUUGGAAAGUUUCGGCGGUUGGGGAUGGACUCGCGGCUUAUCAGCUUGUUGGUGGGGUAGUGGCUUACCAAGGCUUUGACGGGUAGCCGGCCUGAGAGGGUGACCGGCCACAUUGGGAAGGAGAUACGGCCCAGACUCCUACGGGAGGCAGCAGUGGGGAAUAUUGCACAAUGGGCGGAAGCCUGAUGCAGCAACGCCGCGUGCGGGAUGACGGCCUUCGGGUUGUAAACCGCUUUCGCCUGUGACGAAGCGUGAGUGACGGUAAUGGGUAAAGAAGCACCGGCUAACUACGU